ACCUAGACAGCUAUGAAGUUUCUCAUCCUCACCUGCCUCAUGGCUGUUGCUCUUGCCAGGCCUAAAUUUCCUCUUAGAAACCCAGAACUCCUUCAAAAUCAACCAGAGAGCAGCAGCGAG
Galeopterus variegatus (Sunda flying lemur) is the source of this 120-nucleotide long non-coding RNA. RefSeq lists it as uncharacterized. Lineage: Eukaryota; Metazoa; Chordata; Mammalia; Dermoptera; Cynocephalidae. The record is from RefSeq and is a predicted model, not a curated record. The transcript is spliced from 3 exons.